GCGAUCCACGGCAAGUGCAACAGAAAGCAGACCGCCCCGCGUCACGCGGGGUAAGGGUGAAAGGGUGGGGCAAGAGCCCACCGGCUGUCGCGGUAACGCGGCAGGCCGGGUAAACCCCGUCGGGAGCAAGACCGAAUAGGGAAGCGUUUGAGGCCGGCCCGGCCGAUGCUUCCGGGUAGGGUGCUUGAGGCUGCGGGCGACCGCGGUCCCAGAGGAAUGAUGAUCAUCCCGCGUUACCCGCCGCAUGCGGAACGGCGCGGGAAACAGAACCCGGCUUACAGGCCCGCUUUCGCU
RNAcentral lists this RNase P RNA (294 nucleotides) under Desulfovibrio sp. RNAcentral's name for it is "partial RNase P RNA component class A". It matches the Rfam family "Bacterial RNase P class A", at positions 94 to 367 of the family's 367-position model. From Rfam's summary of the family: Ribonuclease P (RNase P) is a ubiquitous endoribonuclease, found in archaea, bacteria and eukarya as well as chloroplasts and mitochondria. Its best characterised activity is the generation of mature 5'-ends of tRNAs by cleaving the 5'-leader elements of precursor-tRNAs. The record is from RNAcentral. Lineage: Bacteria; Pseudomonadati; Thermodesulfobacteriota; Desulfovibrionia; Desulfovibrionales; Desulfovibrionaceae.